Ribosomal RNA from Callithrix jacchus (white-tufted-ear marmoset), 119 nucleotides. The record is from Ensembl. NCBI's taxonomy places the organism in Eukaryota, Metazoa, Chordata, Mammalia, Primates, Cebidae.
GUCCACGGCCAUACCACCCUGAACACGCCCGAUCUCAUCUGAUCUCGGAAGCUAAGCAGAGUUGGGAGUGGUUAGUACUUGGAUGGGAGACCGCCUGGGAAUACCAAGUGCCAUAGGCU